Long non-coding RNA from Amblyraja radiata (thorny skate), 1105 nucleotides. RefSeq lists it as uncharacterized. Lineage: Eukaryota; Metazoa; Chordata; Chondrichthyes; Rajiformes; Rajidae. The record is from RefSeq and is a predicted model, not a curated record. The transcript has 3 exons.
CAUUGAAGCCCCUCCUGCAGUGGAGCAUCUCCUGCAGUGGAGCAUCUCCUACAGCUGCAGGGAAAGUUCAAGCCUCCACCAUCUCCUCAGGCAGCGUGUCCCAGAUUGCAACCACCCUCUGGAUUUUCAGCAUCUGCGGUUCUUUGCUUUACACGUUGAUUUUGAUGUUGUGACCGGCCAACAACAAAUCAAAGGAGAUCAGAUACGUGGUGUCGUAAUCUACUGGGAUUCAAGUAACUAACUGUGGAAGUCAGAGAACCAGUUGUGACUGUGAGACGUGGUGUUGUGUUGGAAGCACACAGAUGACCUGGGAUGUUCAUUAGAUGCAUCAAGAAGUUGCUAUGGAGACGGUGCAGGACGUUCCCCCCGGUUACGGCAGGGUUCCCUUCCUGGGAACCGUUCCCAAGCGGAACAUGCGUCCGUGAACAGAGUUCCCACACGACAGAAGAUGCCUGCAGCCCCGCAGCAGCCGGUAAAUCCAUCCCACCGUCUCCCAGACACUCGCUCAUGUGUACGGGCUGUACUUUACUGUGUCCGUAAGCUGGGGACGAUCUACACCUCAAACAAGUCAACUCGGGGCUGGACAACGAUUAAAGAUAAAGACGUAACAAAGAAAUAAUGUGAGAAAAUGCUCUAAAUACUCAGCCGGUCGGGCAGCAUCUUGUGAAGAAAGAAACAGUUCAUGUUUCAUGCUCCUGUAGAAACAGGCCCUUCAGCCCAACUUGUCCAUGCUGACCAAGAUGCCUCCUCUAAGCUGAUCCUAUUUGCCCACGUUUGGCCCAAAGCCCUCUGACCUUUCUUCCCCAUGUUGAAACACCUUCUGAAAAAUGUCUUCUCAGAUCAAUGACCGUUCAUCAGAACUGAUGCAGUCACAUAAUGUGGCCAGUUCUGAUACAAAAUGGAAAGGCUGGUUAUCUGAAAUUGCCCAUAUUAAUGAUAACUUCAAGGGCUGCACCACACUGAAACGUGAUGCUGUUCCGCAAGAUUUUGUCGGCUUCGUUGGAACAAUUGGAACGGCUUCAUUUGGGGCGGCACGGUGGUGCAGCGGUAGAGUUGUGGCCUUAUAGCACCAGAGACCCAGGUACGAUCCUGACUAUGGGUGCUG